GGAAUAAAAGUCGUAACAAGGUUUCCGUAGGUGAACCUGCGGAAGGAUCAUUGCCACACACGAUCCAAGAUCGACACUAAAUAUGUGAAUUGUUUUACUGUAUUUUAAUUUGUGUAAGGUUGGAUUUUUAAUCAAACUUUUCACAUUUAAAACAAACACCAAAAAUAUAAUUUGAAUAAUACAAAUUGGAACUUAAAUGUUAUUAUAAAGUCUGUCUUUAUAUAACGCUAGAUUGAAAAUUGUAAACAACUUUUAACAACGGAUAUCUAGGUUCUU
Molecule: unclassified non-coding RNA, 276 nt
Filed under: plant metagenome
Description: partial contains small subunit ribosomal RNA and internal transcribed spacer 1
Rfam family: Eukaryotic small subunit ribosomal RNA (bases 1-53)
Source: RNAcentral